CGGGGUGUGGCGCAGGUUGGUAGCGCGUCUGCUUUGGGAGCAGAAGGCCCGCGGUUCAAGUCCGCGCACCCCGACCA
Molecule: transfer RNA, 77 nt
Filed under: Bacillota bacterium
Lineage: Bacteria; Bacillati; Bacillota
Also listed under: 1 other name
Description: Firmicutes bacterium (anaerobic digester metagenome) tRNA-Pro
Rfam family: tRNA
About the family: Transfer RNA (tRNA) molecules are approximately 80 nucleotides in length.
Source: RNAcentral